This 66-nucleotide transfer RNA is filed under the name Cirriformia cf. tentaculata HK-2018. Its description in RNAcentral is "tRNA-Pro". Lineage: Eukaryota; Metazoa; Annelida; Polychaeta; Terebellida; Cirratulidae. The record is from RNAcentral.
CAGAAAAUAGUUUACUUUAAAACAUUAAUUUUGGAAAUUAAAGAUCAGACACACUCUGUUUUCUGA